CCCCUAGAUGUCCUGGGCCGCACGCGUGCUACACUGACGCCUACAGCGAGUACUUCCCAGCCCCGAGAGGUGGCUGGUAAUCAGCAAUAGGCGUCGUGAUGGGGAUAGAUCUUUGGAAUUAUGGAUCUUGAACGAGGAAUGCCUAGUAAGCGCAGGUCAUUAGCCUGCGCUGAUUAAGUCCCUGCCCUUUGUACACACCGCCCGUCGCUCCUACCGAUUUCGAGUGGUCCGGUGAAUCUUUCGGACUGCGCGCGGCCUCGUGCCGUGUCGCGGAAAGUCAGGUAAACCUUAUCACUUAGAGGAAGGAGAANUCGUAGCA
Molecule: ribosomal RNA, 319 nt
Filed under: uncultured eukaryote
Lineage: Eukaryota
Description: partial 18S ribosomal RNA
Rfam family: Eukaryotic small subunit ribosomal RNA
Source: RNAcentral